GUGCCGCUAUUGCAGCCGAGACAUUUAUACUUUCCCUAGGGCUUGUGUGACUCUUGCUAUCAAGGAUGGCACUGGUUCACUCAAUGUAAUAGCCAUGGGAGAUGAGGCCGAGAAGUUAAUAGGUAUCAAUUCUCACCGUUUAUAUCAGGCUGAUAAGGAGGAUGUGCAUCUUACUGAUCGUGUGGCGAGUGCACUUAACGGAAGAGUAAUGUUGUUUUAUCUUAAGCAUUCGGACCAUGCUGUUAGGGUUACAAAGGGUGCUCGCUAUACAAUCGUCGCUUCCUAUGAC
Coffea arabica (coffee) is the source of this 289-nucleotide non-coding RNA. The record is from RefSeq and is a predicted model, not a curated record. Lineage: Eukaryota; Viridiplantae; Streptophyta; Magnoliopsida; Gentianales; Rubiaceae.